RNAcentral lists this ribosomal RNA (471 nucleotides) under uncultured bacterium. Its description in RNAcentral is "bacterial SSU rRNA". It matches the Rfam family "Bacterial small subunit ribosomal RNA", at positions 355 to 825 of the family's 1533-position model. The record is from RNAcentral.
UCGAGAAUUUUUCUCAAUGGGGGAAACCCUGAAGGAGCGACGCCGCGUGGGGGAUGAAUGGCUUCGGCCCGUAAACCCCUGUCAUUUGCGAUCAAACCUUACGACCUGACACGUCGUAAGCUGAUAGUAGCGGAAGAGGAAGGGACGGCUAACUCUGUGCCAGCAGCCGCGGUAAUACAGAGGUCCCAAGCGUUGUUCGGAUUCACUGGGCGUAAAGGGUGCGUAGGCGGUCGGGUAAGUCUGACGUGAAAUCUUCGAGCCUAACUCGGAAACUGCGUCGGAUACUAUUCGGCUAGAGGAAUGGAGGGGAGACUGGAAUACUUGGUGUAGCAGUGAAAUGCGUAGAUAUCAAGUGGAACACCAGUGGCGAAGGCGAGUCUCUGGACAUUUCCUGACGCUGAGGCACGAAAGCCAGGGGAGCAAACGGGAUUAGAUACCCAAGUAGUCCCUGAGCGGGCUGGCAAGGCGCAU